Tursiops truncatus (common bottlenose dolphin) is the source of this 127-nucleotide small nucleolar RNA. NCBI's taxonomy places the organism in Eukaryota, Metazoa, Chordata, Mammalia, Artiodactyla, Delphinidae. The record is from Ensembl.
AAUCACUGUCGCCUGAGCCAUUGGUGCUCCUGGCCCUGGCUGGGUUUUAAUGCAGUGCAAUAGGAACCCCCUGCUUCCACAAGGACUUGGCCUGCUGUAGCCUCCUCCUCCCCACGGUUGGGCCUUU